RNAcentral lists this ribosomal RNA (429 nucleotides) under uncultured archaeon. RNAcentral's name for it is "bacterial SSU rRNA". It matches the Rfam family "Archaeal small subunit ribosomal RNA", at positions 146 to 576 of the family's 1478-position model. The record is from RNAcentral.
UUAAUACUGGAUAGAUCAAAGAAACUGGAAUGUUCUCUGGUCCAGAACUCCGGUGCCCAAGGAUGGGUCUGCGGCCUAUCAGGUAGUAGUGGGUGUAACGUACCUACUAGCCAGCGACGGGUAAGGGUUGUGAGAGCAAGAUCCCUGAGAUGGAUUCUGAGACAUGAAUCCAGGCCCUACGGGGUGCAGCAGGCGCGAAAACUUUACACUGCGGGAAACCGCGAUAAGGGGACCCCGAGUGCCAGCACCUAGUGCUGGCUGUCCUACUGUCUAAAUAACAGUGGUUAGCAAGGGCCGGGCAAGACCGGUGCCAGCCGCCGCGGUAACACCGGCGGCCCGAGUGGUAACCGUUUUUAUUGGGUUUAAAGGGUCCGUAGCCGGCUUACUAAGUCUCUUGGGAAAUCUGGCGGCUCAAUCGUCAGGCGUUCA